This is a long non-coding RNA of Mustela lutreola (European mink), 12928 nucleotides long. RefSeq lists it as uncharacterized. The transcript has 6 exons. The record is from RefSeq and is a predicted model, not a curated record. Lineage: Eukaryota; Metazoa; Chordata; Mammalia; Carnivora; Mustelidae.
UGGAGGGAAGGGGGUGGGGGAGGAAGUGGUGGUUCUCUUGCUCGUCCUGCCAGCGUCAGCCGAGGCGAACUUGACUGAGGUGGCAGAGCUCGAGAAAACUUUGGAAAGUUUAGGUAGCACGGUUAGUGGUGGAGGCGCAGGGCAAACAAGCAGCGCUGGGGUGGGUGUGGGGGAGCGGGCCGGGUGCCAUUGGGAAGCCAGGUCGUGAGGUAGUUAAAGAUCCAAGAAUCCUGGGUCAGGUCCGCCCGCGGCCCCAGAGGCUUCGAGGGGCUGACUGUGAGCCGUUACUUUAAGAGACGGACAAGACAGAGCCGGUAGUUCGGCGGUUCGUGCCAGUGCCGAAAGCACUACGCGGAGAAGGCUCAGAGCAACGGCGGCAAAGGCUCGUCCGUCAAGGCGGGAUUAGAUCCGCCUGCCCGGGGGGCCCCGUCCCCCACCUUCCCCCGCCCUGCGAGAGCCGCGCGCGCCAGGGAUCUUUGGGGCGACGCGCGCCGUUUCGAGUCGCGCUUCGGGUCUCUGCGCACCACGUGCGCCCACGGCCUCAGGCGGGGACGUUUGGGCGAGUGUCCCGGCAGGGAAGGGGGCCACGCAGCCGGGACGGUGCUGCGGCGACGUCCCAGCCCGCCCACCCUUGCUGGGGGGCAGGACAAAAUGGCCCAACCCAACUUCUCCCUGCGCCCUGGGGAAGAAAGCGUAGUGCGCCCGCUGGAGCGCGAGGCCGCCGCCGCCCGUUCCACACACGGCCUGGCAUUCUGCUUUUCCUCACUGCGCACCAGGGAAAGGCAUAAUUCAAUUAUAUCGUUCAAGUGCCACGCAGCUUUUCCCUCUUUUGCUCUGCAACCUAGUGCAUUUCGAAGGGAACUCUCCCAAUCCUCAAAUAAAUCUCUCUCUCUCAAGUCACUCUGGGUUCUUUAGUAAUUAUUGGGGGGAAAAAAGAAAAAAGAAGGAAAAGAAAAGAAAGACCGCCCCAAAUCAGAUAUGAGUUUACCGUCUGAGCUGCAUAUUUGGGCUCAUCGAGCUUGGUUCCAAACCGCGCAGCUCACGCUAUUUCGGGAGAAGCUGGAGAAUGGGGAGAAUACAAGGUUAUUUAAAGUUGACUCCCAGAACGCGACUUUCCUUCCAGGACUCCCUAGGAGUCUGCGUCUAGGCUCCAGCUUGAAUAUUGAACCCGGGCUAGCUCCCCGGUGACACUACCUGUUGGGAGAAUGCGCAGUCUAGACCGUUGGCCUUCCUUUCUCCCGCGCAAUCCCGGCAGCGACGGGAUGAAUCUGGGUUUGGCAGGGAAGGGGAGAAGACAGAAGAGCUAGGGGCACAGCACAAAGUCAGCAGCGCCUGGUACUACCCAGCAAACUGCUCUGGCUCUUUAGGAACUGGAAGCAGUCCCCAGUACGCUGUGCGGGGUCCCUGGCCGCAGGGAUGCGCCCAAACUCUGCACGAUUCUCGAAAUUCGGAAACCACAAAGCAGUGCCGUUCGUGUUUACGGCUUAGUGCAAGCCUAACUUUAAAAAAAAAAAAAAAAAGGCAAACAAAACAAAAAAUCAGAAGCCUCUUGGCAGCUUCCUCGGCGCCCACCCCAACUCCGCACUCCAGCCCCCAGCACUUUUCCCUGCACCGAAAAUCACUUUACUACUUCUUAAAAUUCGGAAAAGUCCGCGGCGGCUUGGACUCGCGGCAACCCAGAAGCUGCUUCGAGCUCCUGCACGAGUUGCUUGAGGGAAAUCACUCUGCUCUUUCGAGCAAACUGAAUCUCUGAAUCUUAAAACAACCUAACUGGACGAGGAAGCGGAUCUCUCAAUAUAUAUUCGAGCCGUCUUUGUAGGGAUUUUUGGAGGCCGGGGGACGGGGGCUGGUAUCUCACAGGAACCUGUGGGAAGGACAGUUCGGGCCGGGCCCUGGGGCUGGAAGUCUCAUUUGGGAAGCGCACAGCGCGGGUUGAGCGCGCGCGUUUGAUUGCAUUCUUUCCGGCAAACGCUCCAGCGGAGCCGGCACCGACAGGACAGGGGGCGGGGGUGAUGUAGAGGCACAGGCUGGGCUAAACCGGGGAAAUUUCCCCCUAGACGUGGGAAGCACUCCGCGUUGUGUCUCCGAUGCGGGUUUCUGCUUUUUGAUAGCGAAUCCCGCUCAGUUUGGGGAGCUGUGGAACUUGGGAGAAGCCCUACGGGCCGGCCCAUUUGGGGUCCGAGGGUACGGAAAGCCUUUGUGAUCGGGGGCACAGCGGGGCUGUAUUUCUCAGGGCCUGCGCUCACAUUCUCCACGGUUACAAAGCACUCGGCUUAAAACGAAAUGGGGACAAAUAUUAGGCCACUGCAGGGAAGGAGGGCGGUGAGCCUCGUCUUGUUUAGGGUACUCGUUUUGACAGCGAAGACUGCUGGGCUACGCGGAAGAACGAGACUUUAUUAAUGAGAAUUUAUUGCACAGGAACGAGAGUGGAGACUUCGAGCUAAAGGACGGCGCAGGACGCUUCCCGCGCGGCGGUCUUUUAUGAUCCUGGCGAUAUUCUUCUGUUCGGGGCCCCUAAGUCACACCCCUAUUCCCAGUCUUAAGUGGCAUUUCCCUUCCCAGUGUGCCUCUUUCCUGUGCCCACUCAUCCGGGCUUCGUGCUGCCCGGGAUCUUUCGGCGGCUGGAAAAACUCUUGCAAACUUGCCCUUCACCAGGCGCUUACGCGGGUGGGCUCUCCCCGCGCCGCCGCGCCGCUACCCCGGAACCCUCCGGGGCCUGGGAAACCCGGCGUAUUUUCCAGCGCUCAGCCUCGGCGCUCCUGUUUUAUUUCAGUUCCAUCCCAGGGGCACGGACCCAAGGAUAAUAAACAGUGCUGCUUAUUACAGAUACAAACGGGCGCAGAAAAAGAACCACGCGGAAAAGCAAGCACGGAGACAUUUUUGCAAGUAGCCAUACAUUCAGAACUGACUUUGAAAGUGAGUUGUACAGUGGAAGGUAUCUCUUCAAAAUUAUGGAAAUUCGCAAAAGUAUAGGUUUGUCAAAGUAUGAUGGUUGGAACUCUUUUUAUUUAUUUGGUUUUGCCUCUGGAAAUCCGGCGGAGUUGUUGCUACCUGCCCCUACCUCUCUACAAGCCGCCUCCUCCUACUUUAUCCCCCUCUUAGAUCGCUAGGCCUCACCUAAAAAGGGGAGGGAGGGUCUUCCAGGUGUCAGCAUACUUUGCUACCGUUAUUUCAGAUCCUUCAAGAGUUGAAAACACUACUUUCCCUUUAGGCAGUGACAACGCGGGCUUUGGGGGGGGGCAGGGAGAAUGUCAUUGUAACGGGUGUGGUCAAAUAAUUCAGAGAUAAGGGGGGAAAAUUCUACGCCCCCCCUUUUUUUAAAAUAUAAACGAAGAUACCCUCUGAGUGUUGACUGGGAGUAGGGGCUGGUGAUUCCUCAGGGUGCGGGUGCGGGUGAAACCCAUUUCUGCCCUGCCUGAUGGCCUUGGGAAAGGGCCUCCCAUCUGCUCUGAUCACCAACCGCCCCCCCCCACCCAUGUCAGAAAAUCUUUCUGCCUGCAAAUAUUGGCAGGACGCUGCUGCGACAGGCGGUGGUUCUUUAAAUAGGAAGGAGACCGCAGGGCGAAAAGAAAGUCACAACCUUCCUACCCACCAGACUACCUGCCUCCCGUCCCCAAAGGCUGAGCGCUGGCAAAGGAGUCUUAAUAAGGAAAACCUCCAAUCUCCAGCAGGAUGGGAGGUGAAUUAGCAGUGUGUCCCAGGAACGAAUCUGUAUUUGAUUCUCAGGGGCUGGGGUGCCCCAGAACAGGUCUCCCUGUUUCAGUGCCAGAGCAUCCGAUCUGCCCUUCCAAUAGCCCUCCCAGUUUCUCCACUUUUCCGUUGUUGUGCAGAUAAAUGUAAAACUGGACAAAAUUUCUGAGGGUGCUUUAGUCCUAUUCUCCUGGGCAGCGGGUGACUUCUGACUUUAUCCAAAGGGCCUGCUCUGCUUUUGGUGGUGCUAAGUGGAGGGUCUGGUCUCACCAGAGCUAGCCCUUGUGCCCCACACAGAACUCUUCACCGACCAACCUCCUGGGGCUUCCUCUGGCUGGACCGGCCCCUCUGACAAUCAAGGGCAUCUCUCUGGAAACGAUUGGGGCCCAGUGCACCCAGGGAACAGCCUAAACCUUCUCUCCCCAGCUCCUACCUAAGUUGAUGGCUUUGCAUGGUGUUCACAAAUUUUUGUUUCCUCCCUUAAUUUCUGUAUCAUCUCCAGACUUUGCUCAGCUGUCUCCAGCUCUCUCUGCCCAUCCUCGAGGCCAGCUUCUAGGAAGAGAAGGAUUUGUGCCUGAUGAGCUCCAGCUUGCGAAGCCUCCUCUGCAGAGACUGGCUGCGUUUUCUAGGGGGUACUUGAGGCACUUUUGGUGGCGAGCUUGGCUCUGGCCUUCCCAUUAUUUUCCAAUUCAGUUGGACCAUAUCUUGUCAUUUGAUAGAGGAGGGAACUGAGGGACAAAGAAGGGACUUGACUUCCCCAAGGGCAGGCGGUGAGCUGAGAGCAGAGUCUGCAUCAGACCCCAGGAUUCUUGAUUCUGAGUCCGUCUGCUCAGUACUGGGGCCGGUGUCGCUGACAGUUCACUACUGUUCAGGAAGCUUCUGUUGCGUGCCAGGCCACUUGCCGUGUGCCAGACACUUUACAUAGGUUAUCAUUACAGUAACUCUAAAGAGCAUUAUUAGCCCCAAUAAAAAUUUUUUAAAAUUAUAAGAGUAACAUAUACAUAAAUCAAAAUACUUCGAAUAACUCAAAAAGGCCUAAACUGAAAGUAAGCCUCUUACUCUCCCCCCUUUUCCAGAAUGAGGCUGGUAUUUUUCAUCCCUUGAGCGUCUCUGUCCAUAUCUAAUAAACGUUACCAUGACCUUCUGAAUGAGGACAGAGAGGCUCCCAGUCAAGGUCACCAGCCGUGGCUACCUGUCUCCAACCCAGCACUGCCAUCACUCUCUAUGGGAGCGAAGGAGAGUGGGGAGAUGAGUAGUAAGUAGUGAGGCUACAGAUAAAAGAAGGAUCAGAUCAGAGUUCACGUCACCCCUUCCUUUUCCCGUCCACCUACACCUGCUAAUGCUACAGGUUUUCAGGAGCUGAGACCAUAAACUUUCUUGGUGCAGGUAACCUGACGCUCGUUUGGGAGGGCUGCAUUCCUUCCAGGCCUCUGUGCAACUGGACAGACAGCUUUCCUUGGGCCCCUGUCACCUAGCGGCUGUCACCCCAGUGCGGCCUCCAGCCUGUGCUAGCUCUGGGAGUGGGGCAAGCUCCGGAAGCUUCAAUUUCCCUGCCUGUCCCUCUGGGUUGUUGGGAGGCUCAAACCAGAGAGAUCCUGGGGAGAGGACUGGAAACUUGAAAUCACUUUCUGUAAAUAGAGCAGCUGCUUUUCAAAGGCCUGGUUUAGGACCCUGUGGCCCUUCAGUUCAAAACAGUGAAUGUUUAGGGUUCUUUGCAAAAGGGUGCGUCUGUCUUUCGGAUAUGGGGUUCACGUUUUGGGUGUGUUGUGUCUAUAGAAGCAGGUACAGAAGUGUGUCUCAAAGUGUGAGCAAAGUGGGCGUUCCUUUAUCUGUGAAAGAGGGGAACACUGAGCCGUUGGAAUCAGAGACGUUGGUGAAUGUGAAGCGGAUUUCCUUCUGCUGGAGGACACUUAAAGCCAGAUGCAACACCAGGGAAGCAGGUCCCUCUGCAGGGGAGAGGUGACAGAAGGAAGAAGAGCAGCACAAAGAAGAGGACCCAUGGCAAUGGUUGGGGACCAGGCCUGAGAAGAGAGUUGGAGUUUUGGCCCCUCUGAAAGAGAGAGAGAAAGAGAGACAGCACAAGCCAAGGGGAGAAGCAGAGAGAGAAGCAGACUCCCCACUGAGCAGGGAGACCCACUUGGAGGCUCAAUCCAGGACCCUUGUGAUCAUGACCUGAGUCAAAGGCAGAUGCUUAACCACUGAACCAUCCAGGGGCCCUCUUCUAGUGAUUUCCAAUGAUACUGUGCUUUUGUAACCAGAAGAGAGGAACAGCCUUCUAAGAGUGAGGCCCUCAAGACAUUUCCAGGCUGCCUGGACAAAGGCUUGGAAUGACUACAAUAGUGAACCAUCCUGUCUUGGACCUGAAUCUAGAUUGAUAACCUAAUACAUCUUUUCCAACUCUGACUGCCAUGGUUUUAUGAGCAUCAAAAACUGGGCGUCUGCCACUGUCAACAAGUACAGAUUCUUCAGAGCUCGAACGUCUGCAGAAACUUAAGUGUCCCCCAAAGAACAGAGAUCGCACAGUGUCCCAGGGCUCUGGGGUGCUGCCUCUAGCUUUUACGCAUGACACCGGAACUCCUCUUCGGCAGGGUAAUUUUUAAAGGAGAGGAAGUGUGCCCGUUACUCACCCCUGUUAGAUUGGUUGAAGAACUCUGAGUCAGAGCGGGGCAGAUCUCUGGGAAGCUAAUUAAGCUUAGUUUAAGGCCCUGUCCUUUCCAGGGGCCCCUUCAGAAUGCUGUACCUAAUUUUGUACUUGUAAUUUUGCAUUCUUUGCAACGAACAGGCCCCUUAAUUGUAUAAGCGGUAGUUCCCCUGCCACCAUCACUGCCACCGUAGGAAUCGGCCCCAGAGCUAGGUGACUUGCACCAAAUCUUAGUUUGGUGAAAGUGCAAAAAUUAAACAAACUCUUCUUCCCUCCACCCCACCUGGGGCAAGUCGCAGUUAAAGAGGAGACCUCUUCGAGUGCCAGUCCUCAGACGGCCUGUCAGCGACAGCAGUGGUUCAAAAACUGGCUGCGUUUUUAAUUUAUCCUCCUUAGCUCCUCUUUAAAAGAACAUUUCGUUGUGGGCUAAUUAUUACAAAGGCUUGUAGACUCUAAAGGCAGAAGAAUUUCCAUGAGUGACCUCCCUUUGGUUAAGCAGCAUCUCCAUUCCAAUUUCAGCUAAGUUUUGUUUUCCAGCAAAGUUAAUGGGUUUGGACUAGCCUUCUACACUUUUGUAACAGGGCUCUCAAGGGACCAAGCUACAGCAACAUUUAUUUUUUCUGAUUACAAAAGUAAUGACAUAUCUAUAUAAAUAUAUAUACACACAUAUAUAAAUAGCUUGAAACAUUAUAGCAUUGAAAGUGAAAAUCUUCCAUAAUCCCACACAGCUGAGAAAACCAGUUAACAUUUUUUUCAAGGCAUAUAUUAAAAAUUUCAUUUAUUAUUUUAAAAAAAUGGGAUUAUACUUCAGCUUUGAAGCAUGCUGUUUUCCACCUAGCAAUAUGUCUCAGACAUCUUUCUAUGCCAGUCUGAAAAAAGUGAGCCUCUUUUUAAUCUUCUUUUUAAUGGCUCCACGGUAUGGUCCUGUAUGGCCAAACCAUACUAUCUCUAACCAAUUGCCUGUUAAUGCACACUUGGGUUCUUUCCAGUUUUCCCUGUACCAAAUAUUCUUGCAAACAUCAUUUUACUCUUACAUCUUUGAGCUGUUGUACGAGUAUUUCUCUAUGAUGAAUUCCCAGAAGGUGAAUUAUUAUUGGGUCAAAGGGUAUGAGCAUUUCAUUUUUAAUAGCUAUUGCCAAAUUGCCCUCCAAUAAUUUUAUACCGAUUUACACCUUCACCCACACUGUGAGAAGGAGCCUGUUUCCCCACCCCACCCCCCCCUUAGCAACACUAAAACCAUGCAAUUUAGGGAUGUCUGAUGUGAGUUAGAAGUUAAGAGGUUCAGCCUGUGGAGGUUUUUUUGCCUUUGUGAAAAAGCUAACAAAGACAUCAAAAGUCUCCCCCUUUCCCUGAUGAACCCCCUGCUCUGAGUGAGCCGAUACCCAGACAGACAUCCAGCUAAUGUGAGAGGUAAAAAUGCUAAUACCUAAUGCUUAUUUUUUGGCUGGAUUUUAGCUGUUUUGUUUCUAGCUGGAUUUUUCAGAGAUAAUUUGUUGUUGAGUGCAUAAACAAAUGUGUUAUAGAAUACUUAAUAACUUAAUUAUUCAGGAAAUGGAUAUCGGUCCUGACCUCAGCACUGCAGUUUUAACGUAAGCAACAUAUUUAAUCUUAGAGCGCCAGUAUGUUUACAUCUGAAACAGUCCUUGAUUUCAUCUUUAUGUUUAUUGGUGCAGAGCAAUUUGAAAAAGCGAUUCUUUAAAGACAUGGGAAAGGGGCUUAGUCGGCCCUAUGAAAGAAGAGCAAGGUUUGCCAAUAUCCAGGUUUUAGGAACUUGUUUUGGAGAUUACUAUGGUUUACAUCCCCAGAAUUAGGAUCACCGGGCAUUAGAGCAGGUUGGGGGGGGGGGGGUCUUUAGGGGUUACCCGGCCAAAAGAUUUUGAAACCCUGCUCCGCAAAGCCUGGGGGUUGCUUCAGGGAAACAGAAGAGGUUGGUGGAAGAGGAAAGCAGAUGACGGCUAAAGAUUCAUGGUAUUCCAAUCCUAAUUGCACCACAAGUGCCCUGCUUUGAUCAACGUCAUGUGGUGGGUCAUAUAUUAUGUCAUUUGGAGCAAGUUGAUCUUUUAUUUUCCUCUUCUGUAAAACAGACACAGUAACAGUGUCUAUUUAAGAGUAGUGAAGAUUAAAUUAAGUAAUAUUAUACACAUGUAGCUCUUAGCCCAGUGCCUGGCACAUGCCAAGGACCCAAUAAAUGUUUGUUAAUGUAUUAGUUAAGAUUUUCCUUUGAAAAAGGAUUCUGUUGCUUACCUCUCAAAACCACCCAUUUACUUUUGCAUCUAUACAAUAAGGCGAUUUGUUUCAGAUGGAGUGGUUUUAGAUUUGAUUGAUUUCCUGCUUCUCAAUCCAAUGAUCUUACUACCCUCAGAUCCCAGGACCCGUCCACUUUGCUGGAGAUGCUGGGAGCUCUGAGGAUAACUGGCCUCCAAGACACCAGGUGGCGCUAUUUGCCACCCAGCUGGCCAAGAUCAAGGCUCCUCUAUCUGUCUUGCUCUUUCUUGGUUUGUGAAAGAAAUAUGACCUUGUGAAGAAAAGUUUUCUUUGCCCUGUGGGCGAAGUUGUCUACAGGGUUCACCCUGAGAAUCAAACAUGAAAGUUGCAAACUCUUAGGCAGCUUUCCUAGGGGCCAUCUUUUCCAUGAUUAGGAGGACAGUUGAAAGGAGUUCAGAAAUGGGCCCUCAAACCUUCUAAAACGGACUGCAUUUUCUAUUCUUGGCCAGACACUUUUAAAAGGAAGAACUCAUCCAACAAACAUACAGCCUUAUCAAUCCUUUUUUUAGGAAAGCUUGUCUUUGUGUAGGGGAAGUUUUCAAGUUCUCCUAAUGAAUCACAGACGUGAGGCGGGACGGGGAGAACUUCAAGCAUUUUCCUUUUUGAAUAUGUCUAACAUGAGACCAAAAACCAGGGAGCGAGUGUAUCUGUGUAUCUCUUCUGCCCAAGAACUCUUUCCAUGCCAGUCACUGCUGCCGUCUGAGAGCCAGACGUGGGCUGGGGGAGGGGUCUCUCUGUGUCAGGGCCAUUCAGGGUCUGUGGUAGACUUAGCAGCAAGUAGACGUAAAAGCUGUAGAAUUAAGAGUUGAAAACAGUGUUUAAUGAAACCCCUCCCACCAGACGCUCUUGAUCAAAGUCUAUCCUUGCACUAAGACAAUUGAUCUACAGUUGCAUACAUAAAAUUUUGGCAACACUCUGUCCUCAUGGCUUUCAACAGAGGCUUUAGACCUCUGAGACUGGGCAUUGUCCCAGAAUUGAGAUCCAGUUGCAUUACGCAUACCAGAAGACACACCACCACAGCCGAGGCCCGUGCAACCACUUUCUUUUAACCUCGCGUCUGUGAAAAAUUACUUUCCAAAAAAAUAAGUGAAACCUGAUGUCUUCUUCGGGUGGUUAUUCUUGCGCCUAUGAAGUCAAUAAAACUCUCCAGAUUUAUUAGACAGCCCUGCUGUGGAAGGCAAGACCACUUCCUAUUCCCUAGCAGAAACGUGUGCCUUUCCUUUCUGUAACCUUCUGACCACAGAUUUUCAUUUUGCUCGUUUCUUUUCUUUUUAUCAGAAAACUGGUCAGAAUCCUAUAAGAUAAGUGGCUUGGCCUGCACUAACAUCCCCAUUUCUGGCCUCCAGGAGGGACAAAGUGAGCAUAGUUCAGGCUCUUCUACCAUUUCUUGUUUACCUCCCAUUUUCAAGUAGCCCUUUUUUCUUUAGGCCAGAAGUAGCAGAGUUUGGAUGUCUCUCCUGCCACCACACUAAGCAUGAAAUGCAGAACCUACCAACAAAUUAUACUCCUGUGAGAGCCCACUAACCAGCGGGUGAUGACAAUGGGAUUCGGUUCUAUUUAAUACAACAAUAUUUAUUGAGCUCCUACUAUAUACGCCGGGGCUUCCCUGGAUAUGAAGAUGCAAAGAUAUGGAGGAUGAUGUUGCCUUCUUUCAAGGGGGAAGUCAACACUUACUGAGUGAAACUCUGAGUGGGACAGAUUCGGAAAUAAACAGAAUGUUGUGGGAUACAAAAACUAGAAAAUAGAAUGAUUUCUCAGAGAGGAUGACUCUCGGACUCUGUGUUUAAAGAUGAUUAGGAGGUUAUCAGAUGAACCUGGAGAAGGGCAACCCCAGCAGAGGGACCAGCAAGCACAGAGAAUCAGAGGUGUGGACUAACACAGAUUUGGGACCUAAGAAGUUGUGUGCAGUGAAUGAAGGCCAAAAGGUUGAACCAAUUCUGUACCUAGAGUCAGGUCCAUUCUGAGUGACUGUGGGGCCUGUGGCCAAUCUACGAGUUGCUGAAGAGCAUUUGUAGAACAUUAUCCCUGGUUCAGACAUUCUGCAUAUCAUGGGAUCCUGUUUGGAAGGUCAGGGGCAAUGACAAUGGAGAAGCAAAGAGAAACCUGGAGAAGAGUGGAGGAAUGCUGGAACACGGAAAGACUCACUCACCUUGAAGAAGAGGACACACACUGGUGUGAUGAGUUCGUGUAAUCAGUUAUGGCUCAGGACUUAGAGUUUAUUCUUAGAACACGUACGCUUGGGAUUUCUUCAUGAUGGCAUGAAUCUGUUAUUUAAUAAUUAUGAGAACUUACCUUCCCAAAUCUUCUUCUAUGUUAAUGGGAAAAGAGCCCAUUGUCAGCAGCGUCUGCUUAGGAAUAUCUUUUGUCUUGGAGCUUGUUGUAAUCACUUCCAGACCGGUGGUAUAUUUAUGAUUUACAUAAUGUUACAAAGGAAGAAGUCUUAAGGAUUUUUCUUUCUCUAAAUCUUUGUAAAUUAUUAUUUUAGACUCAUUGCCAGAUUUUUGUUAAAGGGGGAAGUUGAUGAACUUUUAAACAUGUCAUUACAUGCCCCGAAAUAGCAACUCUUUGUUCUUACAAAGAUUUUUGUGGGAAUUUAAAGGACUGUGUGUGUAUGUGUGUGCAUAUGUGUGUGUGCGUGUGUUUAGAAACAGGUAGGAAAGGAAAUAGGCAAAAAGGAACACUUGAGGUUCACUGAUAAAGUUAAAUACAUAUUUUGUUUUUCUGUUAGAACAAAAGUUGGCAGAUUUGGGGGAAUCUACCUAACAUUUGGUGUGGGUUUAGGAAGCAGGCUCUACAUUCAUUUCCAAUCAUGUUUCAAUAAUUAGGGGUAGCAACAAAAGGGUUAAGCCCUAAAUCAAGGAAAUAUCUCUAAGUCAGAAAACAAAGGGAAACUUGCAUAUUUCUGAAGAUGACAUCGGAUAGGCCUGUGAAUUUCAAGCAAUUAUGCAAUAUUAUGAUUCCCACUGAGUACGCAUUAGUUGGAAUACUGAUCUUUUUAUUUCUCCAUGUCCCGGGGUUGUACACUGAAAGAGCCCUGUUCAACUUUGCAUGUCAGAAUUUUGAAGGAAAAAUUAUAGUAAAAUAUGUUUAAAACAGUGGGGCCUUAUGUGAGUGAACACAACAUUUCCCAAGGCUUUCAAAAAUCCUUUUGUUAAAAAUAUGGUUUUUAUUUUGUUUCUUUUUUUUCUUUCUUUCUUUAAUUUUUUUUUUCCUUUUACUCAGGCUUUUACCUCCCCUCCUUCCUGGAGGAAAGAAGAAACAAGUUUCAAAGGAUAUACAUAACACAGCCUACAUCUAGGGCCUGGGGACUUACAAUGGGUUUGUUUUAAAAUGAGACACCCCACAUGGAAAAUAAACAAGUGAGAAAAGUUCAUCUGUGUAUAUAACUUCAGUUCCAACAACUAUGGUGACAGUCACAGUGUCUGAGUAAGUGUCCCCUAGAGUCAUCUUGUGAGCAAAAUGAUUAUUAAUUGAGGUUUCUGUGAGUCUAAAGACGGUUGUUCACAAAGGGUAGGAAUUUUGCUAGCGUGAGGAACUAAAGACGGAGCCCCUGGGUUGUUCUAAGAUAAAAUGUCUUUUUCAAAUUGAAUUAAUUGAAAACAAAACAAAACAAAAAACAGGCACAGCGAGGUGCCAGGAUUAGGAAUGAUGAUGAACGAAUGUCCAAUUCAUUUCAUCCUGAUAGCCUUUCUUCCAAAGAAGAGAAGUAAUUGGUUUGAUCAGUUAGGAAUUGCAUUUAGCUGUCAGUGAUAGACACUUAAGGUCAAUGGGUUAUUUUUAACAGAAAAGAAAUCCUACCUCUGGCUAUCUGGGGCUCAUAUGGUGACUCUUCAAAGUCAUCGGGGACCCAGGCUCUUUCUAGAUCUCUAUUCUUCCCUCCUUAGGCCAUGACGUCCUUCUAGUUAUUAAAUGUUCUCUCCAAGCAUGAAAGAGGAAAGGGGAGGGCAAAAGGGAUGCCCUCUUAGCUAAGUUAACUCCUUUAGAGAGCUUCCCCUGAAAUGCCUCAAAAUGAUUUCACUUAUAAUUUAUUAGCCCAACUUUUGUCACAGGGCCACACCCAGCUGCAAGGGAGCCUGGAAGGUGUGGUCUCUUAGAAGGAAAACAAUCCCGGCCCCAAAUGAACUCAGGGUUCUGUAACCAGUAAUAAGGGAAGGUCAGGUAUUGGGUGGGAAAUCAAGUCUCUGUCAUACUCCUAUAAAACGUCUGUAAUGCCAAUGCAUUGUCCAAGGCUUAUGGAUUGCUUCUGUUUGAAUCAUGCGGUAUUUAAGACACUAGUUUAAGGACAUAGUUUUGCAUUGCAUUGUCUCAAAGCAUAUGGCCAAAAUAAAUACU